ACGUGGCCGAGCGGUUAAGGCGUCAGACUGCUAAUCUGAUUCCCUAUGGGAUCGCGCGUUCGAAUCGCGUC
Molecule: transfer RNA, 71 nt
Filed under: Chrysotila carterae
Lineage: Eukaryota; Haptophyta; Isochrysidales; Isochrysidaceae
Rfam family: tRNA
About the family: Transfer RNA (tRNA) molecules are approximately 80 nucleotides in length. Their secondary structure includes four short double-helical elements and three loops (D, anti-codon, and T loops). Further hydrogen bonds mediate the characteristic L-shaped molecular structure. tRNAs have two regions of fundamental functional importance: the anti-codon, which is responsible for specific mRNA codon recognition, and the 3' end, to which the tRNAs corresponding amino acid is attached (by aminoacyl-tRNA synthetases). tRNAs cope with the degeneracy of the genetic code in two manners: having more than one tRNA (with a specific anti-codon) for a particular amino acid; and 'wobble' base-pairing, i.e. permitting non-standard base-pairing at the 3rd anti-codon position.
Source: RNAcentral